Molecule: ribosomal RNA, 513 nt
Filed under: uncultured bacterium
Lineage: Bacteria
Description: partial 16S ribosomal RNA
Rfam family: Bacterial small subunit ribosomal RNA
Source: RNAcentral
GACGAACGCUGGCGGCGUGCUUAACACAUGCAAGUCGAACGAAAAGAGGGAAAGAGCUUGCUCUUUCCGGAAUUGAGUGGCAAACGGGUGAGUAACACGUAAACAACCUGCCUUCAGGAUGGGGACAACAGACGGAAACGACUGCUAAUACCGAAUAAGUUCCAAGAGCCGCAUGGCCCAUGGAAGAAAAGGUGGCCUCUACCUGUAAGCUAUCGCCUGAAGAGGGGUUUGCGUCUGAUUAGCUGGUUGGAGGGGUAACGGCCCACCAAGGCGACGAUCAGUAGCCGGGCUGAGAGGAUGAACGGCCAAACUGGAACUGAGACACGGUCCAGACUCCUACGGGAGGCAGCAGUGGGGAAUCUUCCGCAAUGGGCGAAAGCCUGACGGAGCAACGCCGCGGGAGUGAUGACGGCCUUCGGGUUGUAAAACUCUGUGAUCCGGGACGAAAAGGCAGAGUGCGAAGAACAAACUGCAUUGACGGUACCGGAAAAGCAAGCCACGGCUAACUACGUG